AGCGAACGCUGGCGGCAGGCUUAACACAUGCAAGUCGAGCGGGCGUAGCAAUACGUCAGCGGCAGACGGGUGAGUAACGCGUGGGAACGUACCUUUUGGUUCGGAACAACACAGGGAAACUUGUGCUAAUACCGGAUAAGCCCUUACGGGGAAAGAUUUAUCGCCGAAAGAUCGGCCCGCGUCUGAUUAGCUAGUUGGUGUGGUAACGGCGCACCAAGGCGACGAUCAGUAGCUGGCUGAGAGGAUGAUCAGCCACAUUGGGACUGAGACACGGCCCAAACUCCUACGGGAGGCAGCAGUGGGGAAUAUUGGACAAUGGGCGCAAGCCUGAUCCAGCCAUGCCGCGUGAGUGAUGAAGGCCCGUAGGGUUGUAAAGCUCUUUUGUGCGGGAAGAUAAUGACGGUACCGCAAGAAUAAGCCCCGGCUAACUUCGUGCCA
RNAcentral lists this ribosomal RNA (438 nucleotides) under uncultured bacterium. Its description in RNAcentral is "bacterial SSU rRNA". It matches the Rfam family "Bacterial small subunit ribosomal RNA", at positions 29 to 510 of the family's 1533-position model. The record is from RNAcentral.